RNAcentral lists this long non-coding RNA (2572 nucleotides) under Homo sapiens (human). Its description in RNAcentral is "non-protein coding lnc-PIP4K2A-89:1". The record is from RNAcentral. Lineage: Eukaryota; Metazoa; Chordata; Mammalia; Primates; Hominidae.
CUUUCUCGGGCUGAACGCGGCUGGGCUCCCCCAAGGCCUCCCCUUGCUGACGGCUCCACGCCUGCUGGACGAGAAGCGGCCUCCCCGGGGCGUCGCAAGCCCCUGGGACAAGAAGAGGAGCCGACAUUGAGGGAGACCUGAGCAGUGGACGCAGGCAGCGUCAGCCUGGGCGUCCCCGGAGUCGCGGCGAGACCCUGGCUCCCCACCACCGCCCGGCUCUCAGCUUUGGCAUCGCGUCUCCAGAGAGGGCGGUGGAUGACGAGGAACUGCAGCAGUGUACGACCCCCGGGCUCCAGACGACCCUGGGGAGAGCGCGCAGAGUUCCUGGCUAGCGGCCCCCUCGCAGCCGGGCACCCCUUCUCGGCUGCGCGCAGCCACUUAGGGGCACAAGAUAAGCCCCUGGGGAGGGAGCGGGCUGCAGGCGCGGUGGGGAAGAACGGCCCGGACGCAGCCGGGCACAGGGAAGGCCGGGCCUGCAGACUGGAGAGACGUGGGCUGCGGUGAAACCGUUAGGGCUGCUUUGCCGCGCACAGACGCGGAGGCCUUUACAAGGCCGGCAGGCCUCGCCCAGGGCCUGGGCCGCCGCAGGUGCCUUUGGGUCACACCCGGGGCGAAUCCCACCCCCUCCUGGGGCCGCUUCUGUUUACCAAACCCCUCAGGCUAUUGCGUUAGUUGUGCGGGGGAAGGAUAGAGGCAGGGUCCUCUGGUGGAGGGGAGGGAACUGGGGACCCGGGGCUGCUGGGGACGCAGGCGACAGAAUGAAAGGCGAAGAGGCGGCAGCUCGAAUCUGUCUGGGGGUGAUUUUAACCGGCGCAGAGGUGCAGCAUAUGCUUUCCAGGUUGGACUGCGGAAUACAAAGAACGACUCUGAGCCCGGGGAGCCUCCUGACACCGAAACCAAACGAUCCCGACCUAGGGGGGCUGAGUGGCAGGAGACUGGAUUUUUUGUUGAGUUGCAAUUAAAGGGAGAUAAUUAAGCCCGGAGCCGCGCAGCUUAUUAAUAUUUAUAGCCCGGAGCGACAGGGCCUGCGCUCGCUGGAAGCGGAUUUGCAGGCCCAGGCGCGGAGCCGGUGUCUCCUGAGCCAGGGGCUUCGCAGACUCGGGAGGAGAAGGCUCGAUGGGGAAAUUGGGGAGCGUCCGCCUUCUGCGUUUCUCCUAAUUACGCCAGCGGUCAAAGUCCGGCCGGGCCGGAACGUCCCGAAGGCCGGGAACCGCGCGAUGCCCGAAUGCGGGGCGACCCGGCCGCAGUAUCCAGCAUUUCGGAAGCCCAGUUAGGUCUCGUCUCUUUGUUAAUUACCCAAACUGCAUCUCGCAGUAUGUUUCUGCCCACGGGGACAGACCGCGCGUUAAGGAAAUGGCCCAAUAAUUAGGACUCGGGGUAGAAUGUGUCUUAUUUUCUUGGAGCAUGUGGGGCAAAGGAGACAGUAGGUACAUGCGGCCCUGGCUUUGGGGCAAUUUUGCAAAAAAGAAAACGCCCUCCGGCCUCGAAUUUCGUCCGCGGUCGGCCAGGCGCCGCGCUUUGGUUCCUUUCCCACUCCGCGGUCCCCGGGUGUGGGCCAAAGCCCGGACCGGCGGGAGGGGCUCCCGGUGCCCGCGUCGCUGGCCCGGCCUGGGGGAUGCGCCCGAGCGGGCUGGAAGGAGGGGCUGCACAGGCGGCGCCCACAGGGUCGUAGCGCCCGGGCUGGGAGCCUGAGAGCGGUAGGUUCCCGGCCUGCGGCCGCGCGCUCAACUCCCGGAAAAUGCGCGCGAAGCUUUUGCCGUUUGUACCGCACGCGGUUCUCGGAUCUCUGCUUUUCGCGCACGGCCGGUGGGGGCGGGGAGGAAGCGCGGGUGGGAGUGGGCGGCCGCGGUUAGCUUCUCCUGUCCGAACGCAGGGUUUCACUGGGGCGCCGCUACGGUUCCUAUGGCAACGCGGCUCCUCGACGCAGCCCAGGAGUCGCGGUCGCGGGAGGCUGCGCCGCGCACCGAGCUCUUCCCUGUGGCCGCCGCAGCCGCCAGCCUCUUCCUGCUCAUGCUUUUCCUCAUCUUCAUCUCGGUCUGAGUGGGCUCUGGACCUCUCCACCAGCCUCUGCCCCAGAACUGUUAACUGCGGGGGGGAAAAAAGGAAUUUGUCGUCGCAACGCGCGUUCCGAUGGAGCCGCACGCCACAAAGGAAGACUCAUGCUGCACCCCGCGGGGCAGAUGCGGCGACACUGGACAUCGCUGCACAGCUGGGUCUGCCCGUUUCCAGAGCUGCUUAGCGCCGACGCCCAUAAAUGAGGAGGACUCCCUGUGUAUUAAAAGGGGGAUCCGCAGGGUUUAAUUUGAUAAGGAUUAUAGCCUUCAUAAAGGCAUUUUUAACAAAAAGAUGUAGGUGGCAUGGUAAUCGAGUAUUAUUUACGCAUCUCUCCGCACACGCACUCAUACCUGAAAACGUUUUGGCAGGCACAAAAUGAUUUUUUUGUGUAUAAAGAAUGUGUGUAACUCGUGGAUGGUGGGGUUCAGCAGGACAGAUUAGUGACAUUAGAUAAUUUACAACGAGGAUUAUGUUUGUGCUGAAAAUAAAAGCUAUAUUGUUUAUUUAGUUCAUUGCC